GACGAACCGUGCAAACGUUGUUCGGAAUCACUGGGCUUAAAGGGCGCGUAGGCGGGCUCGCCAGUCAGGGGUGAAAGCCCACGGCUCAACCGUGGAAGUGCCUCUGAUACUGCGAGUCUCGAGGGAGGUAGGGGCGUGCGGAACUUCCGGUGGAGCGGUGAAAUGCGUAGAUAUCGGAAGGAACACCGGUGGCGAAAGCGGCGCGCUGGACCUCUUCUGACGCUGAGGCGCGAAAGCCAGGGGAGCGAACGGG
Molecule: ribosomal RNA, 253 nt
Filed under: uncultured bacterium
Lineage: Bacteria
Description: partial 16S ribosomal RNA
Rfam family: Bacterial small subunit ribosomal RNA
Source: RNAcentral